GAGGGUAACAGCUCAGUGGUAGAGUGCAUGCUUAGCAUGCACAAGGUCCUGGGUUCAAUCCCCAGUACCUCCU
Molecule: transfer RNA, 73 nt
Filed under: Camelus bactrianus (Bactrian camel)
Lineage: Eukaryota; Metazoa; Chordata; Mammalia; Artiodactyla; Camelidae
Also listed under: 2 other names
Rfam family: tRNA
About the family: Transfer RNA (tRNA) molecules are approximately 80 nucleotides in length. Their secondary structure includes four short double-helical elements and three loops (D, anti-codon, and T loops).
Source: Rfam by way of RNAcentral